Molecule: ribosomal RNA, 430 nt
Filed under: uncultured bacterium
Lineage: Bacteria
Description: bacterial SSU rRNA
Rfam family: Bacterial small subunit ribosomal RNA
Source: RNAcentral
UGGGGAAUCUUGCGCAAUGGAGGAAACUCUGACGCAGCCACGCCGCGUGAGUGAAGAAGGCCUUCGGGUUGUAAAGCUCUGUCGAGCGGGACGAACCGCCUGGUAGUUAACAGCUACCAGGUCUGACGGUACCGCUAAAGGAAGCACCGGCUAACUCCGUGCCAGCAGCCGCGGUAAUACGGAGGGUGCAAGCGUUGCUCGGAAUUAUUGGGCGUAAAGGGCAGGUAGGUGGUCUCGUUUGUCUGGGGUGAAAGCCUUGGGCUUAACUCAAGAAGUGCCCCGGAAACGGCGAGACUCGAGUACUGGAGAGGGUGGUGGAAUUCCCGGUGUAGCGGUGAAAUGCGUAGAGAUCGGGAGGAACACCAGAGGCGAAGGCGGCCACCUGGACAGUGACUGACACUCAACUGCGAAAGCGUGGGGAGCAAACAGG